GGAGUUAAGAAAUGUAGGUGCGAUAAUACCGUGCUUAUUUGACAAAGGCUCCAAAGGAAGCCACGGCUAACUCUGUGCCAGCAGCCGCGGUAAUACAGAGGUGGCAAGCGUUGUUCGGAAUUAUUGGGCGUAAAGAGCACGUAGGUGGAUUUGUUAGUCAGAUGUGAAAGCCUUUCGUUCAACGGAGGAAUUGCAUCUGAAACUACAAACCUUGAGUAUAGGAGGGGAGAGUGGAACUUCUGGU
This 244-nucleotide ribosomal RNA is filed under the name uncultured anaerobic ammonium-oxidizing bacterium. Its description in RNAcentral is "partial 16S ribosomal RNA". It matches the Rfam family "Bacterial small subunit ribosomal RNA", at positions 439 to 674 of the family's 1533-position model. The record is from RNAcentral.